RNAcentral lists this long non-coding RNA (1803 nucleotides) under Homo sapiens (human). RNAcentral describes it as "HSALNT0253996". The record is from RNAcentral. Lineage: Eukaryota; Metazoa; Chordata; Mammalia; Primates; Hominidae.
GACUACAGGCAUCUGCCACCAUGCCUGGUGAAUUUUUUGUAUUUUUAGCAGAGACAGGUUUUCACCUUGUUGGCCAGGCUGGUCUUGAACUCCUGACCUCAUGAUCCACCCACCUCGGCCUCCCAACGUGCUGGGAUUACAGUCGUGAGUCACCGCACCGUGCUGGUUUUGGUGGGCAUCACCUGUCCUUGGCUCUAAUAGAGGAUGUUACAGAAAUCGUGUAGGCGCAGGUUUAGGUGCAGGCACAGGUGUAGGCAUAGCACAGUGUAGGUGCAGGCACAGGUGUAGGUGUAGGCACAGGAGUAGGUGUAGGCACAGGUGUAGGCAUAGCACAGUGUAGGUGCAGGCACAGGUGUAGGUGUAGCACAGGUGUAGGUGUAGCACAAUGUAGUUGUAGCACAGGUGUAGGGGUAGCACAGUGUAGGUGCAGGCACAGGUUUAGGUGUAGCACAGUUGUAGGUGUAGGCAGAGAUGUAGGUAUAGCACAGGUUUAGAUGUAGGCAAAGGUGUAGGUGCAUUGUAGGAUUAGGUGCAGGUGUCAGCACGGGGUAAGUAUAGGCAGAGGUGUAGGUGCAGGCACAGAUGUAGUUGCAGGUACAGAUGUAGGUGUAUAUUUUCUCUUGGAAAUAGCAAAGCACCGGCCAGACAUGGUGGCCCAAGGUCAUUACAGUGUCCUCAAGAGAGGAGGCAGGAGGGUGAGAGUCAGAGAGAAGAGGCUGUGCUGGUGGAUUUGAAGAUGAAAGACCUCAGCCCGCAACCCCACACCAGGGAGGCAAGCGCCUCCAGAUGCCAGAAAAGGCGGGAAAGGGACUCUCCCCUGGGGCCUCUGGAAGAGGCAGCCCUGCUGAUACUUGGACUUUAGCCCAAGUGAGAUCUACUUUGGACUCCAUCCUCCGGAAGGAUAAGAGAAUAAAUGUGCUUUUUGUUGUUGUUGUUUUUGAGACAGAGUCUUACAGUCUCUCUCUGUCACCCAGGCUAGAGUGCAGUGGCGUGAUCUCGGCUCACUGCAGCCUCAACCUCCCGGGUUCAGGAGCUUCUCCUGUCUCAGCCUCCUGAGUAGCUGGGAUUACGUGCAUGCGCCACCACACCCAAUUAAUUUUUGCAUUUUCAGUAGAGAUGGGGUUUUGCCAUGUUGGCCAGGUCUCGAACUCCUGACCUCCAGUGAUCCGCCCGCCUCAGCCUCCCAAAGUGCUGGGAUUACAGGCGUGAGCCGCCGCACCCGGCCCGAAUGUGCAGUGUUUUAAGUCACCCCAUUUGUGGGCGUUUGUUACAGCAGUGGCCAGAUGCUAACAUGGGAACUGUCUUUGUCCGUUUGCCCCGCUGUAACAAAGUACCAUAGACCGGUGGGUUAGAAACAACAGAAGGUUAUUUCCCACAGUCCUGGAGGCUGCAAGUCUGAGAUCAGGGUGCCAGCAUGAUCAGGUGCUGGUGACGGGGGCCCUCCUGGUUGCACACACCACCUGCUUCUCAGUGUCCUCACAUGGCAGGCAGGGGCCACUGGUGUCUCUUGAUCCUCUUUUAUAAGGACACCAAUCCCAUGCAUGACAGCUCUGCUCCAUAACCUCAUUGCCUCCCCAAAGCCUCACUUCCUAAUACCAUCACCUUGAGGGUGGGAAUUACAACAUAUGAAUCUGGGGGAGACACAGGCGUUCAGGCCAUAGCAGGGACUGGGGGUCUUUUCCUAACCUAUUUGAGCCUCAAUCUCCACGUCUGUGGAAUGGGGACAAUGAUAAUCCCUCCAUCAUUAGGUCACUCUAAAGAUCCAUAAGUUGUGCAACAGGUGUCAGCUGCUUUGACUGUGGC